Molecule: small nucleolar RNA, 134 nt
Organism: Choloepus hoffmanni (Hoffmann's two-fingered sloth)
Lineage: Eukaryota; Metazoa; Chordata; Mammalia; Pilosa; Megalonychidae
Gene: SNORA70
Rfam family: Small nucleolar RNA SNORA70
About the family: snoRNA U70 seems to be exclusive to mammals and is a member of the H/ACA class of snoRNA which contain H (ANANNA) and ACA box motifs. H/ACA box snoRNAs are involved in the conversion of uridines to pseudouridines (5-ribosyluracil) a constituent of structural RNAs (transfer, ribosomal, small nuclear, and small nucleolar).
Source: Ensembl
UUGCAGACAAUUAAUCUGACCAUCCACCUCUUUCCAUGGGGUCCCAGUAUGCAGUGGCUGCAGACAGCAGACUCUUUGGUAGUAUAUGCAACCUGUGCUUGCACAGGUUGCCCCAAGGGACCUUAAACACAGUC